RNAcentral lists this ribosomal RNA (389 nucleotides) under uncultured bacterium. Its description in RNAcentral is "bacterial SSU rRNA". It matches the Rfam family "Bacterial small subunit ribosomal RNA", at positions 28 to 419 of the family's 1533-position model. The record is from RNAcentral.
GACGAACGCUGGCGGCGUGCUUAACACAUGCAAGUCGAGCGGUAAGGCCCUUUCGGGGGUACACGAGCGGCGAACGGGUGAGUAACACGUGGGUGACCUGCCCUUAGCUCUGGGAUAAGCCUGGGAAACUGGGUCUAAUACCGGAUAUGACUCCAUGACGCAUGUUGUGGGGUGGAAAGCCUUGUGCGGCUAGGGAUGGGCCCGCGGCCUAUCAGCUUGUUGGUGGGGUGAUGGCCUACCAAGGCGACGACGGGUAGCCGGCCUGAGAGGGCGAUCGGCCACACUGGGACUGAGACACGGCCCAGACUCCUACGGGAGGCAGCAGUGGGGAAUCUUGCGCAAUGGGCGAAAGCCUGACGCAGCGACGCCGCGUGGGGAUGACGGCCUGG